CGAGAGGACACCAGAGAUGACGGAUAACGAUGUAGUAUUCGUGUCGGAGGAGGCGACGGAGGUGCCGAUGGGUAAGAAGCAUGCUAAUGAUGCGCUAGAGCUGAUGGUCGGUAAGAGAUCAAGAUUGCUGUCACAGUACAUUGUUUCCCCCAUACACGGCCGAGGGGAAGAGAAGGGGGUUUGUGGAUGGGACGUUUCCCAAUCUUUUUCGUGACGUCGACCCGAUCAGACAGAAGGCGUUCGAUGAUUGGUUCAAAUCCCUUAAGUCCGAGUAAGUAUUUUUAUUAUUUUGCUACUAUUUUUUUGUAUUUUUCGUAACUUUUUUAUUUUUAUUUUUCAGAGAUAGUUAUACCAUCGGCUGUAUGACCGUGCCAACCACUGAAAAAUGGUUUGAAGAUGUACUGAUGACCUCAGCUUGGCUCGUCGAUGAUUUAAGUUUUUUGAGUUUUCAUUUAUUAUAUUUAUAGAAGUUCUUGGUUCAUUUACUUAAAUGACUCUAUCUUUUUUGUUGGUGUCUUUUUUUUUUUUUUUUGUUUCAGCAUAUUGACUUGGCUAUGGAAUUGUUACGCGAUCGGGCUCAGAGAUACCCGAGAUCUUAUGAUAGUCCUAGUCGAGUUAUCCUGAGUUCUGAAUUUGUUCGUAUCGUAGAUAUUGAGCAUCACAAGCUCCUAAGCAAGGGGAAUGAAUAUGUUCUGGCCGAGUACAUGCUAGAGUGGGUGAUUGGGCUACAGCCAAGGUGCGAAAAGUCGUGGACGGAUUGUACACAUAUGUACAUUCCAGUGAUCACAAACUCAUACUGUUUUUCAGUGAAAAUCGUAUUUGCUAAUUCCACUAUGUAUGUGUACGACUCUGAUCACAGCUGUUUGACACAAAAUCUACUGGAGCCAAUGGUUGUGAUCGUGCCCAUGAUGGCUAAUCAGGCGAUGAUUCGAGUAAAUGACAGAUUAGCUAUUGUGCGGAACAUGACGACGACAAAACAAGAAAGAUCGUAAGGACUUAAAACUUUUUAAUUUUAACAUUUAAUUUUCAGUUAUAUGUUAUCGAACUAAUAUAUUCUUCUUCGGUUGUAGGGGCGAUUGUGGCUUAUUUGCAAUAAAGUACAUAGAGUUUUUGAGCAUUGGUCGCAAUGUUGAUACAAUAAAUUAGUCUUGGAUUGAUAUGUGGAGACAUAAAUUAGCUUGCGACUUGUAUGAAUAUAACUGUGAUCCUUAGUGCAUUGUAUAUUAUUUUAUUGAAAUGUAAAUGUUGUUUACUUCAGUAUGAUUCGUG
Molecule: long non-coding RNA, 1269 nt
Filed under: Olea europaea subsp. europaea
Lineage: Eukaryota; Viridiplantae; Streptophyta; Magnoliopsida; Lamiales; Oleaceae
Source: RNAcentral